AUUGAACGCUGGCGGCAUGCCUUACACAUGCAAGUCGAACGGUAACGCGGGGCAACCUGGCGACGAGUGGCGAACGGGUGAGUAAUGCAUCGGAACGUGCCUGGUAAUGGGGGAUAACUGCUCGAAAGAGCAGCUAAUACCGCAUACGACCUGAGGGUGAAAGGGGGGGAUCGCAAGACCUCCCGUUAUCAGAGCGGCCGAUGUCGGAUUAGCUAGUUGGUGGGGUAAAGGCCCACCAAGGCGACGAUCCGUAGCUGGUCUGAGAGGACGACCAGCCACACUGGGACUGAGACACGGCCCAGACUCCUACGGGAGGCAGCAGUGGGGAAUUUUGGACAAUGGACGCAAGUCUGAUCCAGCCAUGCCGCGUGCGGGAAGAAGGCCUUCGGGUUGUAAACCGCUUUUGUCAGGGAAGAAAUCUUCUAGGCUAAUACCUUGGGAGGAUGACGGUACCUGAAGAAUAAGCACCGGCUAACUACGUG
This 482-nucleotide ribosomal RNA is filed under the name uncultured bacterium. RNAcentral describes it as "bacterial SSU rRNA". It matches the Rfam family "Bacterial small subunit ribosomal RNA", at positions 30 to 507 of the family's 1533-position model. The record is from RNAcentral.